This 2778-nucleotide ribosomal RNA is filed under the name Triticum aestivum (bread wheat). RNAcentral's name for it is "partial small subunit ribosomal RNA". Lineage: Eukaryota; Viridiplantae; Streptophyta; Magnoliopsida; Poales; Poaceae. The record is from RNAcentral.
CGUGAACACUUUUUAAUGUAAUAGGUUUUACGAUGUUUGGUUAUUAACUUUUAACUUUGUUUUUGUUUUGGUAUAGUACAAUUGUAACAAGGCCGGCCGACUAGAAACUUUUUCUAGCCGGCCCAGUGCUGGUCAGACCAGAGUGCUAGGAUAAGAGAGAAAGUGAACAACGUUAACAUUGUUCUGGAGUACAACGUUGAAGUCGAGUACAGAGUAACACCGUUCGAUCUGGGAACAUCGCCGGGUGCAGGUGGGUGAAACGUUGUCGUCGAGGUGUUGUGUCCGCUACUGUGUUUUAGUUGCGCGAUACGCUCCAGUACGUCGGUUGUUUUCGUGUUCUAGUCGGUCUUCUUGUGCGCAUGCAAACGCAUUUUACCCGGUUUCUGGUCAACGUCGUGUCCACUAAGGUGUAUAGAAAGUGUCUUUUAAACUCUUAAUUCCCUAAGAUGUCCGGUCUUUAGUUUCAACCGUGAAUCAUAUGUUUGUUUUAGUCAAGCUUGUGUGCGUAUCUCCAGUGGUUGGUCUUUUGUACAAGGUUGUCUCGUCUAGUUUACGUGGUCUUUCUAGCGUUCUUUGGUGUAUUUUGUGUCGUUUGUAGUCCGUUCUGUUUGUUUUAAUACCUGGUUUAAUUCGCGAGUGAAUAAGUAUCAAGUGGUUUCGACGAGGUGUGGUCGUCUUCAAACUUCUAUGUUUGCUAUUGUGACGUAGUGUCAUACCAUGUCUUUGUUUCUGUCAAGUCCGUUGCUGUCUGUGUCUGGUCUGAGGUAACCUCCUAUGGCCUCUGUGGCUCUGAACACUUGGGUCUCUGUCUUCGUCGAGGUACCGGUCCUCGAAUGACCGGUGGUGCCUCUGCCUCGUGGUUCACUUCCCACCUGAGGAAGACCUACAACAUCAGGCGGUUCCACGCCGGUAGGAGUUCGACGAAUGGCCGUUUCUACUCUGCGACGACCAGGCCCCCUUACGGGAGGAACAGGACCUAGAAGCGGAAGUGCAACAGUUACCACAGUCUACUGAGGUGGAGGUCCCACUACCAGAACGGCCACUCCCAGAAGUGUUUAUAGACGUACGGUGGUGCCUCGGACUCGUGGUUCACUUCCCACCUGAGGAAGACCUACAACAUCAGACGGUCCCAGGCCGGUAGGAGUUCGACGAACGGCCGUUUCUACUCUGCGACGACUAGGCCUCCCUACGGGAGGAACAGGACCUAGAACCGGAACUGCAACAGCUACCACAGACUCCUGAGUUGGAGCUCCCACUACCAGAACGGACAGUCCCAGAAGUGUUUCUAGACGUAGACAUCUAUGUUUUCUAUUGUCUUGUUCUCAUUCCGUGACAUGUCUCUUUAUACGUCAUGUAGUUUUGUUACGUACUUGGUCUACAUGUCGCCUCCACCUUAACAUUGAUUCUUGGGGGAUAGAGUAUGUAGUUUGUUAUAUAAUCGUCUAGAUAUUCGUUAUCAACUUGGUUCUACUAUGUUAUCUACUCGGUUUAUUUUGUUCUCAUUCCGUGCCAUGUCCCUUUAGACGUCAUGCAGUUUAUUAUCUACUUGGUCUACCAUUGUCUACUUUAACAUUGAAUCUUAGGGCAUUUGGUACGUCACGAUUUAAAAACGUUUUGACGUAUAUUCGUAUAUGGUCGCGUUAUAACCGGACGUCACCCUCGUGUCCAUUUUGAUCGACACGACUUGUUCGACCAGUUCAGAUCCUUCGUUGUCAUUAUACCCGUUUGGUUGUACUUAGAUUCUCAAGCUACGGGUUCAUGCUUAUGAUGUUCUUGAUGAUUAGACCGUUUAGUGUCCACAUAGUUAAGUGUCUAGUAUGUCCCGAUGUUUUAGUCGUUGAUCGAUUGAUGUUGAUGUAUUCUGCUUGGCUUGGCUGUCGUUAGGGUAGGGUUAUUGUGGAAGCUGUCUAGUAGUAUUUAGGUCUUAUUAUGAUUUGUUGGCUCGUCUUGAUUGAUUGAUGUUGGUCUAUCUACUCGGCUUGGUUGUUGUUAGCGUAGUCUAGAUCAGCUUUUAGUACCGUAUUGGUUCUCUUUAAAUUGAUGUUGGCUCGGAUUAGUUUGUGCUGAUUAGCUUGUCCGACGUUAGCUAGACGAGGGUUGCCGAUUAUCCUUAGCUCCCCUUGUUUGUUGGCUAGUUCCAUAAGGACCGUUGCUAGGGUCCCGUGCGUGCGUGCGUGUACUGCUAUUCCUCCCCUUCUUUAGCCUCCGAGCGUAGGUAUGGAACUGUCGCACGAACCAAGCCCCCUUAAGCUCUACCCCUUACCCUCAACUCUCCACUCCUCUAAUUUUCAGGUGACAAACUAAUCUCCCUUACCCUCAAAUUCAUCCUUCCCGUUACCCUCAGCUCCUUCGGUUAAGGGUGGAUAAAGAAGGGUCCCCCGUGGGACAAUUAAGCACUCGUCUCAAAAUAGGGUGCGAUUAAAGGUAGUAUAUGGUUUGUUCCCUUACCCUCAUUUUUAGAUGAAGGGUACUGAUUAGGGAAUAUUUGUGGGAACACGUUUGAGGGUAAGGAGACGGAUUCACGAAUGGUUUGUCCGACACUCCUCCUCCUCUCUCGGAACCGAAGCGAAGCUAGCCUCCAAAGGGCUACUCUAACCUCCCCCUAGACCUAACCUAGCCUACACACUUCUCCUUAAAUAUCGGCCUAGGCUGCCCUCCCCAACCCCCUUCCUUCUUCGCGAUGCCGUGCGGCCUGCACUGCACACCCCUACCCUUCUCCUCUCCGCCAGCGCCUCAGGCAGGGUGGUGCGUUACCUAUCCCUCGUUGAUGUUAUCUUC